This 447-nucleotide ribosomal RNA is filed under the name uncultured bacterium. Its description in RNAcentral is "bacterial SSU rRNA". It matches the Rfam family "Bacterial small subunit ribosomal RNA", at positions 330 to 793 of the family's 1533-position model. The record is from RNAcentral.
GCCAGACUCCUACGGGAGGCAGCAGUGGGGAAUAUUGCACAAUGGGGGAAACCCUGAUGCAGCGACGCCGCGUGAGUGAAGAAGUAUUUCGGUAUGUAAAGCUCUAUCAGCAGGAACGAGACAAGACGGUACCUGACUAAGAAGCCCCGGCUAACUACGUGCCAGCAGCCGCGGUAAUACGUAGGGGGCAAGCGUUAUCCGGAAUCACUGGGUGUAAAGGGAGCGUAGACGGCUGUGCAAGCCUGAAGUGAAAGGCGGGGGCCCAACCCCUGGACUGCUUUGGGAACUGUACGGCUGGAGUGCAGGAGAGGUAAGUGGAAUUCCUAGUGUAGCGGUGAAAUGCGUAGAUAUUAGGAGGAACACCAGUGGCGAAGGCGGCUUACUGGACUGUAACUGACGUUGAGGCUCGAAAGCGUGGGGAGCAAACAGGAUUAGAUACCCCGGUAC